This is a long non-coding RNA of Ictidomys tridecemlineatus (thirteen-lined ground squirrel), 855 nucleotides long. RefSeq lists it as uncharacterized. The record is from RefSeq and is a predicted model, not a curated record. NCBI's taxonomy places the organism in Eukaryota, Metazoa, Chordata, Mammalia, Rodentia, Sciuridae.
CACCCACACCCCACACACAUCCACACACACACACACCCGCGCAGCCACAUAGAGAGGGAGGAAGGAGAGCGGCCCGGUGCGCGCGCGCAGAGAGAGAACCCGAGACAGAGAGAGGGAGAGGGAGAGAGAGGAGAGCGAGAGCCAACCACUGCCGAGUCAAGAUUCAGCGAUUCCACAGCAAUCGCCCUAAUGACAACAGCCUCAUAAUAUCUCCCCUAAAUCCACAACUUCAUCUGACUCUUGGAGUCGUGGAGGAGCUGAAGCCUGGGAGCCCUCUGGACCCUAGGGAGUACAGAACCAUCUCUCUGCCACCACAUAUUAGACUGCUCUGGGCCUGCCCAUAAGCCCCAGAAGGCCACUGAGACUUUGGAGGCCACCCUGAAAAAGCAGACAAGGCCUGGAAAUUGUUUAUUUGUCCAUGAAUUAAUAAUGAUAAUAAUAAAACUAAAUCUCUAUGGGGAAAGUAAUAUUGCAAGCCUAAAACAGACCCUAAAAUGUCCAUAGGAUGUAGAGGGCCCUCCCUCCCUGAGGCCAUCACAGCCCCCAGGCCAGGCGAGGGUGUUAAUUCCUAGGUAUGUUGCUUUUAAGAAGAUGUAAUCAGCAUCUUGAGUCGGCCUCCCUUUGUGAGGUUUCUGUAACUAUGGAAGAUUUGUCGGGGUCACAGACGUCUUUCCCCCGUGCACUGUGUAUAUUUAGACAGGACUCGGUUUGGUGUUAAAAAGUGUAUAUGUUGAAUGGAUUCACACACAGUAGCCAACAAUGCCCACAUUGUCGGCCCGUGUACAACGCGUAUUGAAACGCAGCGCCCAGACUUCAACUAAUCUGCCCUCAAUAAAGCUGAAAUAAUUAUCCUAA